GAUGAACGCUGGCGGCGUGCCUAAUACAUGCAAGUCGAGCGAACAGAUGAGGAGCUUGCUCCUCUGACGUUAGCGGCGGACGGGUGAGUAACACGUGGAUAACCUACCUAUAAGACUGGGAUAACUUCGUGAAACCGGAGCUAAUACCGGAUAAUAUAUUGAACCGCAUGGUUCAAUAGUGAAAGACGGUUUUGCUGUCACUUAUAGAUGGUUCCGCGCCGCAUUAGCUAGUUGGUAAGGUAACGGCUUACCAAGGCAACGAUGCGUAGCCGACCUGAGAGGGUGAACAGCCACACUGGAACUGAGACACGGUCCAGACUCCUACGGGAGGCAGCAGUAGGGAAUCUUCCGCAAUGGGCGAAAGCCUUACGGAGCAACGCCGCGUGAGUGAUGAAGGUCUUCCGAUCGUAAAACUCUGUUAUUAGGGAAGAACAAAUGUAUAAGUAACUAUGCACGUCUUGACGGUACCUAAUCAGAAAGCCACGGCUAACUACAUG
Molecule: ribosomal RNA, 497 nt
Filed under: uncultured bacterium
Lineage: Bacteria
Description: partial 16S ribosomal RNA
Rfam family: Bacterial small subunit ribosomal RNA
Source: RNAcentral